AGACGACCGCCUAGACCGAACAGAACAGUUCCGCGGUUCAAAAAACACGGAUCAAAGCACGAGCUCUCUUUAGUCUCACUUAAUUAUGUUUGCUCCGAUUUGACUAAAGCAAAUAAAGUAUGCCUUGAACCGAGGCAUUCUACAACCUUAUCAGACGCGUUUGUUCCCGCUGUUAUCGGAAACGGAAAAGCUCGCUUGCGCUUUCACUCCGCGGUUUCACUCCGGAUUUCGAGCAACGCGGCGCAACGCCCGCCCCACGGAUUUUGGGGUUGACCGCCACCCCGAGUGUUACAAGUAUCCAAGUUGCGAGUGGGAGCUGAGCCCGAGGGGUUGGAUUGGUUUGUUUACCACGGAGGCCCCACUUUCACUCGCUCGCUCUCCCCAAAUCACAAUCUUUCUCUGCCUCGGCUCCCAAAUCUCUCUUGCUAGUGGCGAUUUACUCAAAUCAGAACGCUCAUUUAAACGGAAGGUUACAAUGUUCCCAUAAACAGUGGAUUCU
Non-coding RNA from Drosophila melanogaster (fruit fly), 499 nucleotides. NCBI's taxonomy places the organism in Eukaryota, Metazoa, Arthropoda, Insecta, Diptera, Drosophilidae. The record is from Ensembl.